GACGAACGCUGGCGGCGUGCCUAAUACAUGCAAGUCGAGCGAAGUUUUUCUGGUGCUUGCACUAGAAAAACUUAGCGGCGAACGGGUGAGUAACACGUAAAGAACCUGCCUCAUAGACUGGGACAACUAUUGGAAACGAUAGCUAAUACCGGAUAACAGUAUUUCUCGCAUGAGAGAUAUUUAAAAGUUGGUUAUGCUAACACUAUGAGGUGGCUUUGCGGUGCAUUAGCUAGUUGGUGGGGUAAAGGCCCACCAAGGCGACGAUGCAUAGCCGACCUGAGAGGGUGAUCGGCCACACUGGGACUGAGACACGGCCCAGACUCCUACGGGAGGCAGCAGUAGGGAAUCUUCCGCAAAGGGCGAAAGCCUGACGGAGCAACGCCGCGUGAGUGAAGAAGGAUUUCGGUUCGUAAAGCUCUGUUGUUAGGGAAGAAUGGAUAUGUAGUAACUAUACAUGUAAGAGACGGUACCUAACCAGAAAGCCACGGCUAACUACGUG
This 499-nucleotide ribosomal RNA is filed under the name uncultured bacterium. RNAcentral describes it as "partial 16S ribosomal RNA". It matches the Rfam family "Bacterial small subunit ribosomal RNA", at positions 28 to 507 of the family's 1533-position model. The record is from RNAcentral.